Long non-coding RNA from Austrofundulus limnaeus, 677 nucleotides. RefSeq lists it as uncharacterized. The record is from RefSeq and is a predicted model, not a curated record. NCBI's taxonomy places the organism in Eukaryota, Metazoa, Chordata, Actinopteri, Cyprinodontiformes, Rivulidae. The transcript has 3 exons.
AAAGAAAUGUGCAGCUGCAGAUUUUGGAGUUUCUGGGCUGUGGAGGGACUGGCAGUGUGAUGUAAAGAAAGCCUUCAUCUGCCACCAUGACCCGGUGCCGUUUUCAAACUUCACUAUGAAGGUGAAGCUGGUGAGUCCUUCUGCUCUGGACCUGAACGACCCUGCAGCUCUGGAUGAUUUGCUGAACAAGCUGAAGCAGAGGCUGAAGGACCAGGGAGUGACAGCCGACAUCACACUGAAGUGGAGCCAGCAGCCGAAUGGAAACAUCUUCUUUAAAGAAAAGGACCAGAAAUAAGGAGAGACUGAUGUGAAACUCCUGUGUUCUGAAAGUUUAACUUGUGAAGUUUUAGUUUUAACACAACUUUAGUUUGAAGAUUUUAUUACAAAACCAAAGAUUAGUUUAAAUAAUUUAGGAACAGAAAAAAAAUCCAGUUCAGUUUGUGUUUGAGGACAAAAACUACCAAAUUAAAUUCUAGCAAAAACCUAUGAUACUAUUUACAUAUAUAUUUAUUUUUGGUUUAGUUAAAUAUAUGAGUGAGUUUUAAACCAUUUGUUUAGUUUUGUAGAAUUAGAGGAACAGGGUUUUAUGAACCUUAGUGAAGUGUUAUAAGUAUGAAAUAUGUUCUGUCUGUAAAACUCAGUAGAUCCAGAGAUGCAGGUCAUUUUAUUUCAUCUGC